RNAcentral lists this ribosomal RNA (561 nucleotides) under Frullania caffraria. Its description in RNAcentral is "eukaryotic LSU rRNA". The record is from RNAcentral. Lineage: Eukaryota; Viridiplantae; Streptophyta; Jungermanniopsida; Porellales; Frullaniaceae.
AACGGAUAUCUUGGCUCUUGCAACGAUGAAGAACGCAGCGAAAUGCGAUACCUAGUGUGAAUUGCAGAAUUCCGCGAAUCAUCGAGUCUUUGAACGCAAGUUGCGCCCGAGGCUCCCRCCGAGGGCAUGUCUGUCUGAGCGUCCCCGGGGUCCCGCCCAUCCGUCCCGCCGCCGUGGCGGGGGGGUCCAGUAGGAUGGGCGCUGGGAUGGCCUAUGCGCGGACCAUCGAGCGGUUCACCCCGCCCGACAGCGACCCGCUCGGCUGAAAUUCAAGUCGGUCCCGGUAGUCGAAGGGGGAGCUGCGUGAAGGUGAGAAGAGUCCGCCCCCCGCGGAAGCGGGCGGCGGUCGCGGUCAGCUCUCGUAGCGGCGUCUCCCUCCGACGACCCCCGGGGCCAGCAAAAAGCGGGACUCGGGUCUCAUCCGUCCCGGGUCUUUCUCACGCCUUGGACCUCAGAUCAGGCAAGAUCACCCGCUGAGUUUAAGCAUAUCACUAAGCGGAGGAAAAGAAACUAACGAGGAUUUCCUUAGUAACGGCGAGCGAACCGGAAGUAGCCCAGCUU